Oxyura jamaicensis (ruddy duck) is the source of this 2267-nucleotide long non-coding RNA. RefSeq lists it as uncharacterized. The record is from RefSeq and is a predicted model, not a curated record. NCBI's taxonomy places the organism in Eukaryota, Metazoa, Chordata, Aves, Anseriformes, Anatidae. The transcript is spliced from 3 exons.
AUUCUGAAUUUCUAAAUAAAAAUUGUAGGCUUUUGUGAGAGGGAAUAUAUAAAUAUAACACAUGCAUAAUAAAAAUGCAUAAAGUAGAUCCUAAAACUGUUAUCUCUUGCCUUGUUACACCAGGUAGUGUUAAAUGAGGAGAGGGACAGAGGAGCAAGGUGAUUUAGAGCUGGCAGGACAGCAGCUGGGAAAAAGGAGAAAAUGGAAAAUUGUUUUUUACAUAGAAAAUUUAGAAAAGGCUCUCAUGUUGCUUGGUUUUGCACAGGCUAGCAGAGAAUUUAGAAGAGUGAAAGAUUAAAAAUCUCAAGCCCAGUGUAGACAGAAAUUGCAGUAUUUUUACCGAGGUUUAAUUUGCUUGUUUGAAUUGUGCUGCAGGCGCAUGGAAAACUUUCCUUUUGAAGGAAAAGACUGGAGGACAAACAGUGAUGGAAAAACAUGUGAUUUAUGUUAAUUUUAACAUUUUAGUAGAUGUUACUUGAAUUAAUACUUUGUUUCUCUGCAAGGGAAAAGGGGAUUGUUAGGAGGACAACAGAUUAUUACAGUCCUUGCCAGAAAUACAUUCUGAAUGGAUGAAGUGACAGCUUGUGCACCAGAGGAGUUGCCCUGGGAUGGUGGCCCAGAACAACUGUUAAUAUGCAACACAAUACAACUGCGUGAGUGUUGGAAAUGGUUAACCAGCAUGAAAGCGUCUGCAGCUGUAAAUGGCUCUGGCCAGCUGAGGGCAGGGACUGGCUGCUGGUUGUGCUUGGCAGCAGUGCAUGGGGACUGCUAGCCUCCACAAAGAUUGUUAGAAGCCUUGAACUGAACAAACACAUUGAAAGAGAAACCCUACUAACGCAUUCUGAAACACGCUCCUCAUGCCCAGUGGGGUUUACCCCUACUUGUUCUGAAGCCUUCUCAGGAAGAAGUGUGCCUCAUGUACGGUCCAGGUGUGCCUCAUGUACGGUCCAGCUGGGGCAGCACACCCUGAUGAGUGGCACCUGUGCCAGGAGCUGGGGCAGGGCUGCUCUAGACAAAGAAGGGACAGCAGUGGUGGCCAUGUCUGUGACUCUGCAUUUGUUCCUGCCUCGGCAUCAGAAAGGUGACAGACCCUGAAAGGAGCAGGCCUUGGUACGUUGCUGGGGGAGUCUGUCUCACAUGCAGCAGAACUCCUCUGAACCUUGACUGAAAAGCAGGUGGGUUAGCAAAGUAUACUGAAACAAACAUGAAAAAGGAAGUUCAGCCUCAGAAAGGUUAAAAACAGGAAUGUUUGUAGAGGACCUUCACAGCCCAGGCAAAUACUUGACCCAGUGAAAUCACCUGGAAUUGCUUCACUGCAUAAGCUACUUUAGUAAUCAUCUCUUGUGGCCUGAUCAGAAAUCCAGUGGAGCUGCAGUGGGAGUCAUUUCAUUGACUUCAAUAAGCUCUGGAUCAGACCCAUGGGGAAUGAAGAAUGACUUUCUCCUAAUCUCUGAAAUUCUUCUUCUCUCUCGUUCCAAAGCAGUUACAAAACUGGUGAAAUGGAAGGAAUAGUUUCUCUUGGUCUCGUGCUCUUCAUCAAUCUUCGGGUUUAUUUUAGGCUAUAAAUUGCCCUAAUCAUGGAUGCUUUCUUGUUUUUGACUUACAGUGUUUAGCUGCAGAAGGCCAAAAUGCAUGUUUACUGCCCUUCUGCAGCUGCUGUUGUACUGAGAUUGUUUAUCUGCACAGUGCCUGUCUGCUGUGGCUUCUUAGGUAUUUCACAAUCAGAGAAGCUCAAAACUCUUUAGUAGGGUUUUCAGAUUGAUAAGAGAACCAAACCACAGUGUUCUGGGAAGAAAUCUAUCACAUUGAAAAAGGUCAUUUAUUUGCUGCUUUUGUAAAAGCAUUGCUGAGGGCCGGCAUCAUAAUAGCAAUUUUCUGUGGCUGUGUUGUCUUGCGGCACUGCAUGUCCCACUUCAUUGUUGGCAGAGCACAAAUGUGUGCAGCAAAUGGUUUGCUUAAGGGUGAGUCCACAAUACUAGUAAGAUGAUACACGCAGUGUUUUUAUGUAGUUGAACUGUAUAUCCAUAAACAUUAUGCCAUCGAUACUGUGUCAUUCUACAGUCAAAGGAGUUUUAGGUAUGUAUCACUACAACUGUCUGGCAUUGCGAUGUUUCCAAACAAGUGCUGAGCUCUUUAGCAGGCUUCCCAAGAUGCGGUACUGUACCACUGCUAUGUAAGAUCCUGAGACUUCACAUGCUGUGCGUUGUGGCAUCCAGCUGAAAGAUGAUGGAAUUUUGAGGCUUGGAGUGAAAUUUAAAUUCCCAUGG